RNAcentral lists this ribosomal RNA (294 nucleotides) under uncultured bacterium. Its description in RNAcentral is "partial 16S ribosomal RNA". It matches the Rfam family "Bacterial small subunit ribosomal RNA", at positions 775 to 1067 of the family's 1533-position model. The record is from RNAcentral.
GGAUUAGAUACCCUGGUAGUCCACGCCCUAAACGAUGUCAACUGGCUGUUGGGAGAGAAAUCUCUCAGUAGCGAAGCUAACGCGUGAAGUUGACCGCCUGGGGAGUACGGCCGCAAGGUUGAAACUCAAAGGAAUUGACGGGGGCCCGCACAAGCGGUGGAUGAUGUGGAUUAAUUCGAUGCAACGCGAAGAACCUUACCUACCCUUGACAUGCCAGGAAGUUUCCAGAGAUGGAUUCGUGCCCGCAAGGGAGCCUGGACACAGGUGCUGCAUGGCUGUCGUCAGCUCGUGCCG